RNAcentral lists this long non-coding RNA (1542 nucleotides) under Coffea arabica (coffee). RNAcentral describes it as "long non-coding RNA (CARA_LNC002317)". Lineage: Eukaryota; Viridiplantae; Streptophyta; Magnoliopsida; Gentianales; Rubiaceae. The record is from RNAcentral.
UUUUCUGGUGCCUUUGAGGGCAAAAUAUGGGAUGUGGAAGAAGAGUUUCAGAAACUCAAGUUCUUGAGCUUAUACAAACUGAACAUUCCUCAAUGGAAAGCCUCUUCUGAUGAUUUCCCCAAGAUUGAAAGACUCAUCUUACAAAAUUGAAAAGACCUUGAAAAACUUCCGGAGGAUUUUGUGAACAUAUACACAUUGGAGAUGAUUGAAGUGCAUUGGUGAGGAGAAUCUGCAGAAAAGUCAGCAAUUAAGAUUGGGGAAGAAAAUAGGGAAAUCAAAGUCCUUGUUAAGAGUUUACACUUGAGAUGAUGGGCAUGAUUUGGAUCAAGUUACUUUAUCCUUCCUCUGAUCAUUUGUAAGUCUAUUUAAUCAAAUUUCAUCAGCUUAUCCAUUUCUUCAAUUCAUUUCUAAGAAGAUAUGCUCAAAUAUAUAUUUUGUAUCUAAAUCUACUAAUGGACAUAUCACACAUGACUUGCUCAAAGAUGUUAGGAACUUCUAACUGCUGGACAAUGAACUGGAAAAUUUUGUUAAUUCUCGACAAACAUUUGCUUUUUUUAACUUUUCCUUCAUCUCUAAAUUGCUGGUGAUUAGUUUCUUGAUGAUGUUACAUCUCAGUUCGUUAAAUUCGCAUCGCUCAAUUUGGCACUUCAUAUUUUCCAGUCUUCUAUAGGACCUACUAAUUUGCAUCAUCAGAGCAAACUAAUCUAAGUUAGAAGCCUCUUCUCCAUUAAACCUUGGAAUGGUCACAUUCUCUUUACUAGAUCUGUAUCCAUCAUAACAAUCAUCAUCGUUUAACUGCGGCAAUUCACUACUCAAGCAAUGCAGAAGCUUGAUUGGCUGCAUUUUUUUUAGGCAGUAAGCUCCACAAUAGACGCUGUUCUGAGUAACAAAGCCUGCAGCUUAAGAACACUUGUUCAUUUUGUUUCGAAGAGCCGAUUCAAGUAAAAGAUGACAAUUUCCCCAAAGAUUUUAAUGGCCAUGACACGACAUCAGAUAUGACUACUUUGUAUGCAACUCCAGAAUUUUUUCUUUCUCAAAGAAAUUAUACAUAAAUUUAACUUUUUUGAAACAUGAAUAACAAUUGUCAAACUGCUGAAUUAUAAUCAUCCACCCACAAAAUUAUCACUAAAUUGUAACACAAAUUCAUGGAAAGCAAUCACUAUUAAGCUUUCAAAGUCUAAAACAUGAAGAUGAGCCAUCCAAAAUUAAACAUUUGAUAUCCUCAAUUCAUCCAAGCCGCUCUUCCCACAAAUUCUUCAAUUUUAAACAAAAAUUUGAAUUUUAUUAAAAAAUAUUACCUCUGUUAGAAGUUAAAGGAUCAUCCUACAAUCUUCACUUGCUACUGAGCCUUGAUUCUCCAAGAUUCCACCAUACAACGAAGAACGAAGAAGGGAUAGUUUUCAUGUGGCGAACGACGACGUUGAGUGCGAUCUCCUCCUUUAGGAUAUCUAACAACCCCGCCCCGACCAAGCCCCAUCCCCCGGGUCCCAACAAAAAAAAAAAGGCAAACAAAUUCGUUGGUUUCUGAUGUCAGUAUAGAAU